Molecule: long non-coding RNA, 431 nt
Filed under: Bos taurus (domestic cattle)
Lineage: Eukaryota; Metazoa; Chordata; Mammalia; Artiodactyla; Bovidae
Description: long non-coding RNA NONBTAT021646
Source: RNAcentral
AUUAUACAGGAAUGUUCUGAGGAUAUUUGAGAUGGCAUCUAGCUCGCAUUAACUCAGCAAUAGUUUCCAAGGAACACAAAACAGUCCAGUGACAUGAUCCAGCCUCUCAGCCUUACAGAUCAUGAUGUAGAUUAAGUGCCCAAGACUUUCCUACACACAAAUCUUCCUACAGCCAAAGCAACCCCUCUUAUUGUUCUCUUCCAGCAACUUCCAUAAUUUAUGAGGGAAUUAGCCCAGUAAGCUAGGUUAGGUGUUCUCCAUAGUUUUUUCAAAGCCUUGAGAAUACUCAGGGGUCAGGGACAAUAUCUGUGGGCACUUCUGCCAAAGUACCAGUUUGUAGUUUCUUAUAAUGUGGCAUCUUAUUGAUCUCCCUUCACCCUUGACUCCUUUUACUUAACCAUUUUCCUCAACUCUCCCAACCAGAUAACAAG